UACGUAGGUCCCGAGCGUUGUCCGGAUUUAUUGGGCGUAAAGCGAGCGCAGGUGGUUUAUUAAGUCUGGUGUAAAAGGCAGUGGCUCAACCAUUGUAUGCAUUGGAAACUGGUAGACUUGAGUGCAGGAGAGGAGAGUGGAAUUCCAUGUGUAGCGGUGAAAUGCGUAGAUAUAUGGAGGAACACCGGUGGCGAAAGCGGCUCUCUGGCCUGUAACAGACACUGAGACUCGAAAGCGUGGGGAGCAAACAGG
This 252-nucleotide ribosomal RNA is filed under the name uncultured bacterium. Its description in RNAcentral is "partial 16S ribosomal RNA". It matches the Rfam family "Bacterial small subunit ribosomal RNA", at positions 524 to 776 of the family's 1533-position model. The record is from RNAcentral.